This is a long non-coding RNA of Homo sapiens (human), 1599 nucleotides long. The record is from Ensembl. Lineage: Eukaryota; Metazoa; Chordata; Mammalia; Primates; Hominidae.
GUCCUGGACGCCCCUUGGCGGUCCGCACUGGCGGGUGCCCUCUCCCGAGGGGAACUGAGGCGGGGCGCCUGCCACCAUUCGUGAUUUUCCGUGACUCACCCUCUCAACAGUGUCCCGUCAGCCCCCGCUUUCUGGAAUUAAGAUGAUUUUCCAUGGGCAUUAUAGUCAGAGGAGGUUUUCUGUGAGACAUCUGGGAAAGGUGACUCAAUGAUCACUCAUAUUGUUCUAUGAUGUUAUACAUUUAACCGGAAUACUGGUGAACAGCUUUUAUAUCUUGGAAUUUUUUCCCAUUUUUGAAUCAGAAAUUUAGGACCAAGAAUCUUCUGUCACAGAACCUAUUACUUUGAGGAGUGAACUUAUAUUAACGGUGCUAAACCGUACAUGAACGACUUGGUAGAUGAAAACUUUGGAAAAUAGGAACAUUUCAUGUCAUCACAUGUAUCCUCCAGCAUUGGGGAAAAUUCAACAGUUGCCUUAAGGCGGGAGUUUAAUUGAGGACAUUUACUAAAAAGUUACUUAUUCUGUUUGAAAUUCUCUUCUGAUAAACAUCUUCCCGGGAUAACGAACAUCUCCAGGAUGUGAGAGCCGAGCGCGUGUCCGCGGAGUGCUUGAGCAACGCAGAAUGGCUUCGGUGCUGCGUUCCUUAGACCCCGUGCGGACCCUGCUGAGCCCUCAGCAUCUGGUAUAGAUGAAAGGAUUCAGCAUCGGAGCCACCAUUGAAUACAUGAUGGUUGACAGAGUGUCGCUCUCAGGCAUAUGGGGGGAUGAAGGGCUGAAAUAGACGGCGAUGGCUGUGCCGUAAAACAACACCACCACUGACAGGUGGCAGCUGCAGGUGGAAACAGCUCUCUGCUUGCCCUGAGUAGAGGUGAUCUUCAGAACAGUGGAGAAGAUAAGUCCAUAAGAUACGAGGAUACAGACAAGGGGCGUGAGAGCCAAUAGACCUCCUACUGCAAAAAUGAUCAUUACAUUGAAGGAGACGUCAGAGCAAGAGAGCUGCAGGAGAGGAUUGAGAUCACAGAAGAAAUGAUGGAUGAUAUUGGAGGCACAGAAGGACAGCUGUGCUAUUAGGACAGUAUGCAGGAGGGCGUGGAGGUAAGUAACAAGCCACAGUCCAGCCACUAGCUGGACACAAAGGCACAGGUUCAUUCUGGCGGUGUAAUGUAAGGGGUGGCAAAUCGCCACAUAUCUAUCAUACGCCAUCACACACAGAAGGAGGCUGUCCAUAUUCACAAAAGAAACGAAGAAGAAGAGCUGGGUGAGGCAGCCUGCAAAAGAGAUAGUCUUGGUGCCAGUCAAGAUAUUCACUACCAUUUGGGGGACUGUAGUCGACGUAAAGCAGAUGUCAACAAAGGCCAAGUUACUAAGGAAGAAGUACAUAGGGGAAUGGAGGUGAGAGUCAAAGCCAAUCGUCGCAAUGAUGAGCAUGUUCCCCAAGGUGGUGGCUAAAUACAUACAGAGAAAGAGCACAGACAGGAGGUGCUGCUGCUCUGCUGAGCUAGGAAGUCCCAGAAGGACGAAUUCCCUGACAACUGUUAGAUUUCUUUUUUCCAUAUUCCCAACAAAUCUAGAAAAAUAAGUUAUUAAAUUGUAAAAGCC